GACGGUAACAGCCCGGUAGUUGAAAUGGCUUUCCCUCCAGAGUGGAUCCUGAGUACGGCGGAACACGUGAAAUUCCGUCGGAAUCCGGGAGGACCAUCUCCCAAGGCUAAAUACUCCCUAGUGACCGAUAGUGAACCAGUACCGUGAGGGAAAGGUGAAAAGCACCCCGGAAGGGGAGUGAAACAGUUCCUGAAACCGUGUGCCUACAAGUAGUUAGAGCCCGUUAAUGGGUGAUAGCGUGCCUUUUGUAGAAUGAACCGGCGAGUUACGAUUUGUUGCAAGGUUAAGCGGAAAAAGCGGAGCCGUAGCGAAAGCGAGUCUGAAUAGGGCGCAUAAGUAACAGGUCGUAGACCCGAAACCAGGUGAUCUACCCAUGUCCAGGAUGAAGGUAAGGUAAUACUUACUGGAGGUCCGAACCCACGCACGUUGAAAAGUGCGGGGAUGAGGUGUGGGUAGCGGAGAAAUUCCAAUCGAACUUGGAGAUAGCUGGUUCUCUCCGAAAUAGCUUUAGGGCUAGCCUCGAGGUAAAGAGUCAUGGAGGUAGAGCACUGUUUGGACUAGGGGCCCUUCUCGGGUUACCGAAUUCAGAUAAACUCCGAAUGCCAUGUACUUAUACUCGGGAGUCAGACUGCGAGUGAUAAGAUCCGUAGUCGAAAGGGAAACAGCCCAGACCACCAGUUAAGGUCCCCAAAUAUAUGUUAAGUGGAAAAGGAUGUGGGGUUGCUUAGACAACCAGGAUGUUGGCUUAGAAGCAGCCACCAUUGAAAGAGUGCGUAAUAGCUCACUGGUCGAGUGACCCCGCGCCGAAAAUGUACCGGGGCUAAACAUAUUACCGAAACUGUGGAUGAACCUCUUUAGAGGUUCGUGGUAGGAGAGCGUUCUAAGGGCGGUGAAGUCAGACCGGAAGGACUGGU
RNAcentral lists this ribosomal RNA (914 nucleotides) under Listeria monocytogenes. RNAcentral's name for it is "partial 23S ribosomal RNA". It matches the Rfam family "Bacterial large subunit ribosomal RNA", at positions 360 to 1274 of the family's 2925-position model. The record is from RNAcentral. Lineage: Bacteria; Bacillati; Bacillota; Bacilli; Caryophanales; Listeriaceae.